UACAGAGGUGGCAAGCGUUGUUCGGAAUUACUGGGCGUAAAGGGCGCGUAGGCGGCCUUCUAAGUCAGACGUGAAAUCCCCCGGCUUAACCUGGGAACUGCGUCUGAUACUGGGAGGCUUGAGUAUGGGAGAGGGAAGUGGAAUUUCCGGUGUAGCGGUGAAAUGCGUAGAUAUCGGAAGGAACAUCAGUGGCGAAAGCGACUUCCUGGACCAAUACUGACGCUCAUGUGCGAAAGCGUGGGGAGCAAACAGG
RNAcentral lists this ribosomal RNA (253 nucleotides) under uncultured bacterium. RNAcentral's name for it is "partial 16S ribosomal RNA". It matches the Rfam family "Bacterial small subunit ribosomal RNA", at positions 524 to 776 of the family's 1533-position model. The record is from RNAcentral.